GAUGAACGCUGGCGGCGUGCCUAAUACAUGCAAGUCGAGCGAACAGAUGAGGAGCUUGCUCCUCUGACGUUAGCGGCGGACGGGUGAGUAACACGUGGAUAACCUACCUAUAAGACUGGGAUAACUUCGGGAAACCGGAGCUAAUACCGGAUAAUAUAUUGAACCGCAUGGUUCAAUAGUGAAAGACGGUUUUGCUGUCACUUAUAGAUGGAUCCGCGCCGCAUUAGCUAGUUGGUAAGGUAACGGCUUACCAAGGCGACGAUGCGUAGCCGACCUGAGAGGGUGAUCGGCCACACUGGAACUGAGACACGGUCCAGACUGCUACGGGAGGCAGCAGUAGGGAAUCUUCCGCAAUGGGCGAAAGCCUGACGGAGCAACGCCGCGUGAGUGAUGAAGGUCUUCGGAUCGUAAAACUCUGUUAUUAGGGAAGAACAAAUGUGUAAGUAACUAUGCACGUCUUGACGGUACCUAAUCAGAAAGCCACGGCUAACUACGUG
This 497-nucleotide ribosomal RNA is filed under the name uncultured bacterium. RNAcentral describes it as "partial 16S ribosomal RNA". It matches the Rfam family "Bacterial small subunit ribosomal RNA", at positions 28 to 507 of the family's 1533-position model. The record is from RNAcentral.